AUUGAACGCUGGCUGCAUGCCUAACACAUGCAAGUCGAACGGUAACAGGAAGCAGCUUGCUGCUUCUCUGACGAGUGGCGGACGGGUGAUUAAUGUCUGGGAAACUGCCUGAUCGAGGGGGAUAACUACUGGAAACGGUAGCUAAUACCGCAUAACGUCGCAAGACCAAAGAUGGGGACCUUGUGGGCUCUUGCCAUCGGAUUUGCCCAGAUGGGAUUAUCUAGUAGGUGGGGUAACGGCUCACCUAGGCGACGAUCCCUAGCUGGUCUGAGAGGAUGACCAGCCACACUGGAACUGAGAAACGGUCAAGACUCCUACGGGAGGCAGCAGAGGGGAAUAUUGCACAAUGGGGGCAAGAAUGAUGCAGCAAUGCCGCGUGUAUGAAGAAGGCAUUCGGGUUGUAAAGUAAUUUCAGCGGGGAGGAAGGGAGUAAAGUUAAUAACUUUGCUCAUUGACGUUACCCGAAGAAGAAGCACCGGCUAACUCCGUG
Molecule: ribosomal RNA, 490 nt
Filed under: uncultured bacterium
Lineage: Bacteria
Description: partial 16S ribosomal RNA
Rfam family: Bacterial small subunit ribosomal RNA
Source: RNAcentral